RNAcentral lists this long non-coding RNA (660 nucleotides) under Homo sapiens (human). RNAcentral's name for it is "HSALNT0374922". The record is from RNAcentral. Lineage: Eukaryota; Metazoa; Chordata; Mammalia; Primates; Hominidae.
CUUGUUCAUCUGGCUCUCCCCACCCUCCUACUUUCAGACUUAUCCUUCUAGGUCAGCAAAUCUGGAGAGCCUCUCCUCUUGAUCUAGGGUCAUUAUUACAAUGAAGGGAAGAAAGGAAGACAUGAAGGGGAAAUGGGACUAUUUACCAAGUGUAUCUGCAUAGACUAAAGGAGACAAGAGGAAGUACUGAGCACCUUGAUUCCUGCAGAUAAUUAUUUAAGAACCAUAAGAAUUCUUUCCUAGCUUCUCAUAAGCCUGCUCCUUCAAAGGGUUAACUGCAGUGAAUCAAACUAUUGGAUUAUAAUUCCAUGAAGUAAGUUUAUUGAAGACAAACAGGCCUUGGGCCGCUGCCUCUGUCUCUCCUGCCUUCCCCACUGAAUCUCCAGCCCACAUUCACAAACAAAGACAAACCUGUGUAAACUGAAGCACCACAAAACUACUUUUAUGAAAGCAGAAUGGAAGCAGAUUUCACCUGCAUUUCCUACAUUCAACUGAAUCCUUUAAAUUGACUGAGGCACAUCCUGUACCAAGGAGAGACCUUUGUUACUGCCUUUGAUCCUGAGACCUUCUGAGCCAGGAACCCUGCUUUUAAGAGGAAGGUCUUGGCCAGGCUCAGUGGCUCACACCUGUAAUCCCAGCACUUUGGGAGGCCGAGGCGGG